This 138-nucleotide ribosomal RNA is filed under the name uncultured eukaryote. Its description in RNAcentral is "partial 18S ribosomal RNA". It matches the Rfam family "Eukaryotic small subunit ribosomal RNA", at positions 1299 to 1458 of the family's 1831-position model. The record is from RNAcentral.
UGGUGGAGCGAUUUGUCUGGUUAAUUCCGAUAACGAACGAGACUCUGGCCUAUUAAAUAGUACGCCGAUUCCGAUCUGUCGGCGUUAACUUCUUAGAGGGACAAGUGGCUUUUAGCCACGCGAGAUUGAGCAAUAACA